CCUGAGAAACCCAAAAGAUCGAAUGGGGAGAUUCAUCGUCGACGAAGCUGGCUCCCGUUGGUGUGNGAUUCCUCCGAUGGGACUCUGUUCCAAAACGUGGGUACACCCCUUCGGCGAAUAACCCGGCGACGUAGACGUGCACUUCUCCCUUAGUAAAACGUCGCGACCCGUUGUGUGUCGGUCUACGGCCUGAGCUGUUGCCUGUCGUGAGCACCUACGUGUACUCGCGGCAGAGGCUCGGUCGCCCGGCCGGCUGCACGACGGUACUCUGACGGUAUCGGGCCGCAACCAAUCCAUUCUCGAAUGUAUGUGCGUCAGGCCCGCCGCAAGCUCGGACAGCACCCGGAGUGUGUGGACAUAGUGCCCUCCCCGGGUCUGACCAGCUGUUUGCAGGCGGUGUCCUCGGACUGGCCAAGCUUUGAAUUACCGGUCAGCGACGCUAUUGCUUUGGGUACUCUCAGGACCCGUCUUGAAACACGGACCAAGGAGUCUAACAUGUGCGCGAGUCAUUGGGACAUUUAAACCUAAAGGCGAAAUGAAAGUGAAAGUCGUCGUAAGCGUCGACCAAGGGAGGAUGGGCCGCUUACCUCGCGGCCUCGCACUCCCGGGGCGUCUCGUUCUCGUUGAGAAGAGGCGCACCCAGAGCGUACACGUU
RNAcentral lists this ribosomal RNA (655 nucleotides) under Colletes sp. 4 NML-2007. RNAcentral describes it as "eukaryotic LSU rRNA". It matches the Rfam family "Eukaryotic large subunit ribosomal RNA", at positions 420 to 810 of the family's 3401-position model. Lineage: Eukaryota; Metazoa; Arthropoda; Insecta; Hymenoptera; Colletidae. The record is from RNAcentral.